CCCCGCGCAGCCUCCGGGCCUGGGCUGAGGGGCCUGGACCCCCCCGUGGACCCCCCCAGCUCAGCCCCAGGGCCUGGGCUGAGGGGGCAGGACCCUCCCUACGACCCCGUCCGGCAUAGCCCCCGUGGCCUGGGCUGAGGGGGGCCUGAGUCUCCCUGGCCCCCCUGCCGUGGCCCCCCUGGCCUGGUCUAAGGGGGGCUGGACCCUCCCUGUGACCCCCCCGGUGCAUCGGUGGUGUCAACACCCGCCUGGGCUGAGCAGGGAGCAGACCUGAAAACCUCCCCUGGGCCCCCCCGCACUCGAGCCCUCCCCCACAGCCUCCCUCCCUCCCAACCCCCCUCUGCCCCCCAGUUCUGAGCCCCCCUUUCCUGGCUCUUUUUAUACCCCUGAGCUCCUCCCUCGGGUCCCCCAGUCUGAGCCUGGGGCCAGGAGACCCCAGGAGUCUGGGACCCCCAGCUCUUCGGUGUGGGGGUUUGCGCAGGGUUUUAACCGUGGAUCUUAACUUCUCUCCUGUCCCAGAGCCCCCCCGGUGGAGAGGGGGAGCCCCAGCGAGGGUGUGGGGGGGCCCCCUGGAUCUAGGGGGGCCGGGGUGUCCUGUGUGUUGUACAGGGCAGCUGCUGUCACGUCAAUAAAGUUGGUUUGAAAUUG
Molecule: long non-coding RNA, 648 nt
Organism: Gopherus flavomarginatus (Mexican gopher tortoise)
Lineage: Eukaryota; Metazoa; Chordata; Testudines; Testudinidae
Exons: 2
Source: RefSeq, a predicted model, not a curated record